GACGAACGCUGGCGGCGUGCUUAACACAUGCAAGUCGAACGGAAAGGCCCUGCUUUUGUUGGGUGCUCGAGUGGCGAACGGGUGAGUAACACGUGAGUAACCUGCCCCUGACUUUGGGAUAACUUCAGGAAACUGGGGAUAAUACAGGAUAGGAGCUCCUGCUGCAUGGUGGGGGUUGGAAAGAUUCGGCGGUUGUGGCUGGACUAGCUGCUUACCAGCUUGUUGGUGGGGUAGUGGCUGACCAAGGCUUUGACGGAUAGGCGGCCUGAGAGGGGGACCGGCCACAUGGGGACUGAGGUAGGGCCCAGACUCCUAUGGGAGGCAGCAGUGGGGAAUAUUGCACAAUGGGCGGGAGCCUGAUGCAGCAACGCCGCGUGCGGGAUGACGGCCUUCGGGUUGUAAACCGCUUUCGCCUGUGACGAAGCGGGAGUGACGGUAAUGGGUAAAGAAGCACCGGCUAACUACGUG
Molecule: ribosomal RNA, 468 nt
Filed under: uncultured bacterium
Lineage: Bacteria
Description: partial 16S ribosomal RNA
Rfam family: Bacterial small subunit ribosomal RNA
Source: RNAcentral